GAGGGGUAGCGAAGUGGCUAAACGCGGCGGACUGUAAAUCCGCUCCCUCCGGGUUCGGCGGGUUCGAAUCCGUCCCCCUCCACCAU
RNAcentral lists this transfer RNA (86 nucleotides) under Shouchella lehensis G1. RNAcentral's name for it is "Bacillus lehensis G1 tRNA-Tyr". It matches the Rfam family "tRNA". From Rfam's summary of the family: Transfer RNA (tRNA) molecules are approximately 80 nucleotides in length. Their secondary structure includes four short double-helical elements and three loops (D, anti-codon, and T loops). Further hydrogen bonds mediate the characteristic L-shaped molecular structure. tRNAs have two regions of fundamental functional importance: the anti-codon, which is responsible for specific mRNA codon recognition, and the 3' end, to which the tRNAs corresponding amino acid is attached (by aminoacyl-tRNA synthetases). tRNAs cope with the degeneracy of the genetic code in two manners: having more than one tRNA (with a specific anti-codon) for a particular amino acid; and 'wobble' base-pairing, i.e. permitting non-standard base-pairing at the 3rd anti-codon position. Lineage: Bacteria; Bacillati; Bacillota; Bacilli; Caryophanales; Bacillaceae. The record is from RNAcentral.